This 208-nucleotide long non-coding RNA is filed under the name Vigna radiata. Its description in RNAcentral is "long non-coding RNA (VRAD_LNC004831)". Lineage: Eukaryota; Viridiplantae; Streptophyta; Magnoliopsida; Fabales; Fabaceae. The record is from RNAcentral.
CUGCCUGUUAUUGUAGAUGUUUGCAACAUAAGCUUGAGGCUCAUGAAACUACAACUGCUGUGGUUCCUGGACCGAUGGAUGCAUACAAGGAGUCUGGAAUGAUGGUUCCUGAUAUUGAUGCUGUUAAGUAUCAUACCAUCCCAAGUUAGGAUCAGUCCACCCAGGAUCGUCGCUAUAAUCAUACCGCACAGGGAAGAAUUUGUCUAGA